UCGCUCAGAUUGAACGCUGGCGGCGUGCUUAACACAUGCAAGUCGAGCGAGAAAGUUCUCUUCGGAGAAUGAGUAGAGCGGCGCACGGGUGAGUAACGCGUGGAUAAUCUACCCUGAAGAUCGGGAUAACAGUUGGAAACGACUGCUAAUACCGGAUAUCCUGCAUAUUUAGCUUUAUGUGGUAAAGGCGGCCUCUAUUUAUAAGCUGCCGCUUUGGGAUGAGUCCGCGUCUCAUUAGCUUGUUGGUGGGGUAAUGGCCUACCAAGGCAACGAUGAGUAGCUGGUCUGAGAGGAUGAUCAGCCACACUGGGACUGAAACACGGCCCAGACUCCUACGGGAGGCAGCAGUGGGGAAUAUUGCGCAAUGGGGGAAACCCUGACGCAGCGACGCCGCGUGCGGGAAGAAGGCCUUCGGGUCGUAAACCGCUGUCAGGAGGGAAGAAACUGUUAGGGUAUAAUACGCCCUUUCACUGACGGUACCUCCAAAGGAAGCACCGGCUAACUCCGUGCCAGCAGCCGCGGUAAUACGGAGGGUGCGAGCGUUAAUCGGAAUCACUGGGCGUAAAGCGCACGUAGGCGGCGCAUCAAGUCAGGCGUGAAAGCCCUCGGCUCAACCGAGGAAUUGCGCUUGAAACUGGUGUGCUGGAGUCUCGGAGAGGUUGGCGGAAUUCCAGGUGUAGGAGUGAAAUCCGUAGAUAUCUGGAGGAACACCGGUGGCGAAGGCGGCCAACUGGACGAGUACUGACGCUGAGGUGCGAAAGCGUGGGGAGCAAACAGGAUUAGAUACCCUGGUAGUCCACGCUGUAAACGAUGGAUAUUAGGUGUCGGGGGUUACCUUCGGUGCCGCAGUUAACGCGUUAAAUUCCCGCC
This 870-nucleotide ribosomal RNA is filed under the name bacterium 060620-Aspo-KJ0052F01-H1-SRB5. Its description in RNAcentral is "bacterial SSU rRNA". It matches the Rfam family "Bacterial small subunit ribosomal RNA", at positions 20 to 873 of the family's 1533-position model. The record is from RNAcentral.